Felis catus (domestic cat) is the source of this 3378-nucleotide long non-coding RNA. RefSeq lists it as uncharacterized. NCBI's taxonomy places the organism in Eukaryota, Metazoa, Chordata, Mammalia, Carnivora, Felidae. The transcript has 3 exons. The record is from RefSeq and is a predicted model, not a curated record.
CCUAAAACCAAACACGACCCUUGAGCGCUGGCCUCCAAAUCCCCUUCUGCCUCGUCCUGGCAGUCGCACAGCACCCACACGGAGAAAUAGAAACGCCCGCCGGUGGGAAGCCAAAGGCAAAUGCAGCGUGCACACCACUGGCUGUCCAAGAUGCGGUCACGCACCAGGGUGUCAGAAGCAUUGUUUCUGGAACCAAAGAGCUCCGUCUUCCUUUGUUUUUCAUCCGUGUCUUCUCACGUUUGGUUCUAGAACAUCUGAAGACCAAUCCUGACCCUCCCGCCUGGAUGGACAGGGCUUGACCUCGACACUUCCCAAGCGCCUCAGGACCCCUGACUACCGGUGGGAUCACAGGUGGACCCCUGGCCUCCAUGAAGGCGCCUGCGCACAGGAGGCAGAGAAGGAAGGCGCGUGCUUAUGGCUGGACCCACAGAAGCCCAGCUCUGACAGAACAGCUUCUUUCUUACCCAGAUGGAUGCAGCAAACGCGCAAAUCCACACAAUGGAAUAGUCUUCGGCGGUAAAAAGCAAUCAGCACCGACGCCUGUGACAACAUGGAUGAACCUGGGGAACAUCGAGGCUCCGUGAGGUGCCCAGACUCCAGACUCGGCACGUGGUAUGACUCCGUUUACGUGAAAUUGUUCGCAACAGGCAAACCCAUAAUGGCAGAAAGGAGAUGGCUGGGUACCAGGGCUGGGGACAGGCAAACAGGGGAAGACUGCUAGUGGGUGCAGGGUUUCCCACUGGGGUGAUAAAAACGGUGGCCAUGACUGCAAAACACUGUGAAUGUAUUCCAUGUCACUAAUGGUAAGUUCUAGGUGUUAAACGUUAAGUGUAUUUUACCACAAUUUAAAAAGGAAACCAAACGAAUCUGUGUGCAUUCUCCUUAGUGCAGAGACACGACUUUUAAGGUCUUGGAAGUCAGAAAAGGUGUGCCUGUCCAAGGUAAUGAGUUGGACACAAGAGAAUCAAACAAUGACUCAUGACCAAGGACCUCAUUAAACGCAAGCAGCUGGCAUGGGGUGGGGAGUGGGGCAGGAGCGUCUGGAGGAGUAGCUAGGGAAAGAGCGGAAGCAGAACCUGGGAUCAGGCCUGACCUUCGGGAAAGAUCUAGAUGCUGUGUCUGCAAGGGAAGGAUAGUGGACGCAUUUACAACACACAUUCCUUUGGCAAAGGACAGAAAACCGAACGAGAGAUCGGAAUGCUAAAAUACUCCAUUUUACAAGCUCUAUCUGUGACGUUCUCUUACUUCAGAGCUUCAACACGCAGGGCAGGAAGCUCAGGGUCUCUGAGCUGUAGCUGCCCUUAUCUGUCAGAAGCAGGGUGUCCAGCAGGGCACAGUGGGAAGGCACCCCAAGACUAUGUAAGAGCGAGGCCUCCAUUCAGAGUGACACAACUACUCACACCCAGCCUACAGCCCUGGUUUCCCAGACCCACCUUGUGGGAGGAGCCUCUGGACAGUCAUGGGCCCGACUGCUGACCAGUCUGCCCAGGGAAACUGCUUUCCGGAGCCCAGGCGACUAAGGAGUGUGAAGCCGCUGGUGACACGCUCUGGCUGAGGGACGCAGGUCCUCCCUGGCCCUGGUUCUUGGCCGUGGUUCCACCUGAGAACCACUUUCACAAUCCUGAUGCCACACCCCGACCACAACCCCAAGUAAAUCAAUCUGGGCAGUGGCUCCAGGCAGGAGCUGUGGUUAAAUGCUCUGCAGGAGAUCCCAGAGAGCAGCCAAGUGGAGCAGUACUGGCCACGAAGUCUGCCUUUCUCUGGCUCCGGUCACUCCCCUUCGCCACUGGUGACAAUGAGAUGUUGUCUCCUGUCUUCUGGCCCCUGAAGCAGAGGGAGACCCCACCUCCCACUGCCAGCCUGGAGGGAAAGCACAGCAAAGGGGGAAGGACUUCUCCCUUCAACCACGUUGCUGGACGGUGUUUUCUGGGCGUUCUUUUCCUUGGAAUUCUUGGUAAGCUUCAGUAGAGCAAAUCCAGCCUAGGAGGCUGGACUGCUCCUUCCCUGAUCAGUCUCUGAAUCCCUAAGCUACAGGGGUCCCUAAGACUAACAACAGAGGACAGUGGCAAACAGUGAUUACAGAUGUUGUUUGGGGUUUUAAGUCAGCAGUAAAUACACAUGAUACAUCUCCGAAAGGUGCAGAAGUAUAAAGCUCACUCCCUUCCGCGGCCCUCAGGCUUGAGGGGAAGCGUGCUACUGGUUUCUUACGGCUCCCUCCAGAAAUAUUCUGUGCACUGUCAGGCAUAAAGUGUGUUUUUAAAAUGUGACUGGAGCAGUUGGCCUGUUAGCUCAGUUGGUUAGAAGAGCCGAGUGAUAAAUCCGAAAAUUAUGUGGAAACUAAGCCCAGACUAUUCCCUUGUUUCCCCUGCAUGGUUUACGUUGCUAAAUGAGACCAAAUGGUGCAUCUCAUGGCAAGAACAGAGGGAAUAUUGCCAUUCUCUCAAUGACCUGGCUUUUGAUUGGGAGCCCAGCUGAAAGAACACACAUUUCCCCCACACCACUGCCUGUUUCCGUGACAAGACUUAGAAGCAGAAAGGGAAAAAACCCUCCAUAUGGUCACCAGUAACAGGAGGUCGGGUGAUGUGCCUCUUGUCGGCAUCUACAACCUGGCCGUGCAUCAGAGAUGCGGGAACAGAAGCCCAGGGCUUCCAGAGUCACGAGGAAGGGCACAGUCCAGCGGAGCGGCUGGACCUGGAGGUUCACGCCCUAUCUGGGGCACCUGGGCCAUAUUACCUAGCCUCUGUGUCUGCAAGCUUCUUCCUUGCUCAAGAGAUCUUAGCAAAUUUAGAUAGAAAGGCACUUUGUUGAAAAGAGAUUGGACUGUACCCAGAUUGAUGGGAAGACUGGAGAACCACGUUCAGGACAUGAGUGGACAUCCAGGGACACCAGGUGCCCAAGACCACAAUGAGACCACGGCCACGGGAGCGGUCCAGCUGGGAUAAAGCUCCCUGGCCCCCGGACACUGCAUGGCCCCUCACCGUGGGCUCCUCCCAAGACAGGCUGGGCACCCCUCAAACCAUCGGCUCUGCACGUCUCAGGCUGGGCUUUCCAGCAUCGCAGGUGCCCUUCCCCUCCCCCAUGCUUUCGCCCGGGGCCCAGAGAGGCCUGGAGAUGGCAGCAGGCACACACAGCACAAAGUCCUACAGAAAAAGAGAACAAACCCUAUCUGGUAUCCGGAAGGAAAAACUUCUUUCAAAUGUGGAGAAGUAACACAAAAAUGUUACAUGUGGGCUACCUAGUCCUAGGCUGAGCCACCUCAUUGCCUGACGACAUUGUUACACUGUGAGCAACACCAAGGCCUCACCUUGAGCAAAGGGUUACAAGGGUCAUGUUUAUACUGGGAUCAAUAAUAAACAGUCCUGAAAAGUGAGAUUUAAA